RNAcentral lists this long non-coding RNA (230 nucleotides) under Elaeis guineensis (African oil palm). Its description in RNAcentral is "long non-coding RNA (EGUI_LNC070914)". The record is from RNAcentral. Lineage: Eukaryota; Viridiplantae; Streptophyta; Magnoliopsida; Arecales; Arecaceae.
UUUCCUCCAAAAUAACCCUAUCGCCAUGCAACACCUUCACGAUUUCUCCAUUAGCUACCAUCCUAUAGCCUCUUAAAUUCAGUCUGCUCAGUGAGAUAAAAUUUCAUCUAAAAUCGGAUAUCUCUCGAACCUCCCCCAAUCUCUUCACUGCACCAUUAUGUGUCUUCCAGCUGACCAUCUCGAUGUCUUUGAUCACACAGCUCGAUCUAUCCGAUAGAUAAACAGUGCCC